This 712-nucleotide long non-coding RNA is filed under the name Olea europaea subsp. europaea. Lineage: Eukaryota; Viridiplantae; Streptophyta; Magnoliopsida; Lamiales; Oleaceae. The record is from RNAcentral.
CGUUCAAUAAUUAGUGAUAUCGGAUUAAUAGAGAUUAAACUUUAAUCUCAAUUACAAAAAUGAAAUCAAAUCAUGCUCUAACUUGCCUUUUGCUUCCCUUCAAUGAUUUAGUGAUAAAUGAUCGUUUAAAAGGUCUUGAAGAACAGUUUAUCAAAGGCCUUGAGGUUCAAUAGUAGUCAAUUUGUUGGACUGUAUCAAGCCUAGUUAUAAUGAAAAGCUAUCCCAUCGUGUACCAAUCCAUGUGAUUUGCUUGUUUUUUUAUUCUAUUUAUUAAUCAUUGUUGCUCUCGAUCUACCCAAAUAUCUUUAGCACAGCUGAUCAAAAGUAGGCUUGUGACCUCGUCAAGAGUCAUUCCAUCAAAGACACUAUACUCCAUUUCUUUAUCAAACACGUCGUAAUCAUCCUUGUACACAAUGUAUGUCCUCAAGCUUUUUCUCAAGCCUUUCGAUCUUCUUCAUCAAUGUGUAAGUCUCUAGUGUUCAUCAAAUUACUCCACUUUAGAGGUAUUGUCCUAAAUCAAUCUUCAUUGAGAGAAGGCUCACUACCUAUUAACUUCUGACAAUUUCUCGUACUUCCUCCUCAACCUUUGCCUCUUCCUAGAAUAUUUUUGAAGUUCUCUUCCCGAUAACAUUACUUUCUCCAGUUUCUUUGAACUAACCUCAACCCCCAAUCAAGAUAUAAGUAACUAACAUGCAAUCAAUUACCCUUUUUU